This is a non-coding RNA of Paramuricea clavata, 159 nucleotides long. Lineage: Eukaryota; Metazoa; Cnidaria; Anthozoa; Malacalcyonacea; Plexauridae. The record is from the annotation of a GenBank genome assembly.
AAUAAACACAUUAUUUACCGGCAGCGUCGGUCCGGAUGAGAAAAACUGUGCCCUCGGUCUUGAAAACGUCCCUCGCCCUUCGGGCUCGGGCCGUUUUCAAGACCUCGGGCACAGUUUUUCUCAUCCGGACCGACGCUGCCGGUAAAUAAUGUGUUUAUG